RNAcentral lists this ribosomal RNA (432 nucleotides) under uncultured bacterium. RNAcentral describes it as "bacterial SSU rRNA". It matches the Rfam family "Bacterial small subunit ribosomal RNA", at positions 30 to 463 of the family's 1533-position model. The record is from RNAcentral.
AUUGAACGCUGGCGGCAUGCCUUACACAUGCAAGUCGAACGGCAGCGCGGGGCAACCUGGCGGCGAGUGGCGAACGGGUGAGUAAUAUAUCGGAACGUGCCCUGGAGUGGGGGAUAACGUAGCGAAAGUUACGCUAAUACCGCAUACGAUCCAAGGAUGAAAGCAGGGGACCUUCGGGCCUUGUGCUCCUGGAGCGGCCGAUAUCUGAUUAGCUAGUUGGUGGGGUAAAAGCCUACCAAGGCGACGAUCAGUAGCUGGUCUGAGAGGACGACCAGCCACACUGGAACUGAGACACGGUCCAGACUCCUACGGGAGGCAGCAGUGGGGGAAUUUUGGACAAUGGGGGGCAACCCUGAUCCAGCAAUGCCGCGUGAGUGAAGAAGGCCUUCGGUUGUAAGACUCCUUUUGUUCUAGGGAAGAAACGGUAGAGGG